RNAcentral lists this ribosomal RNA (465 nucleotides) under Vreelandella stevensii. RNAcentral's name for it is "partial 16S ribosomal RNA". It matches the Rfam family "Bacterial small subunit ribosomal RNA", at positions 338 to 795 of the family's 1533-position model. The record is from RNAcentral. Lineage: Bacteria; Pseudomonadati; Pseudomonadota; Gammaproteobacteria; Oceanospirillales; Halomonadaceae.
CCUACGGGAGGCAGCAGUGGGGAAUAUUGGACAAUUGGGGCAACCCUGAUCCAGCCAUGCCGCGUGUGUGAAGAAGGCCCUCGGGUUGUAAAGCACUUUCAGUGAGGAAGAACGCCUGGUGGUUAAUACCCAUCAGGAAAGACAUCACUCACAGAAGAAGCACCGGCUAACUCCGUGCCAGCAGCCGCGGUAAUACGGAGGGUGCGAGCGUUAAUCGGAAUUACUGGGCGUAAAGCGCGCGUAGGUGGCUUGAUAAGCCGGUUGUGAAAGCCCCGGGCUCAACCUGGGAACGGCAUCCGGAACUGUCAAGCUAGAGUGCAGGAGAGGAAGGUAGAAUUCCCGGUGUAGCGGUGAAAUGCGUAGAGAUCGGGAGGAAUACCAGUGGCGAAGGCGGCCUUCUGGACUGACACUGACACUGAGGUGCGAAAGCGUGGGUAGCAAACAGGAUUAGAUACCCCAGUAGUC